Molecule: ribosomal RNA, 253 nt
Filed under: uncultured bacterium
Lineage: Bacteria
Description: partial 16S ribosomal RNA
Rfam family: Bacterial small subunit ribosomal RNA
Source: RNAcentral
UACGUAGGGCGCAAGCGUUGUCCGGAAUUAUUGGGCGUAAAGAGCUCGUAGGCGGUUUGUCGCGUCUGCUGUGAAAACGCGAGGCUUAACCUCGCGCCUGCAGUGGGUACGGGCAGACUAGAGUGCGGUAGGGGAGACUGGAAUUCCUGGUGUAGCGGUGGAAUGCGCAGACAUCAGGAGGAACACCGGUGGCGAAGGCGGGUCUCUGGGCCGUUACUGACGCUGAGGAGCGAAAGCAUGGGGAGCGAACAGG